GCCUACAAUGCAGUCGAGCGGAACGAGUUAUCUGAACCUUCGGGGAACGAUACGGCGUCGAGCGGCGGACGGGUGAGUAAUGCCUAGGAAAUUGCCCUGAUGUGGGGGAUAACCAUUGGAAACGAUGGCUAAUACCGCACAACGCCUACGGGUCAAAGAGGGGGACCUUCGGGCCUCUCUCGUCAGGAUAUGCCUAGGUGGGAUUAGCUAGUUGGUGAGGUAAUGGCUCACCGAGGCGACGAUCCCUAGCUGGUCUGAGAGGAUGAUCACCCACACUGGAACUGAGACACGGUCCACACUCCUACGGGAGGCAGCAGUGGGGAAUAUUGCACAAUGGGCGCAAGCCUGAUGCAACCAUGCCGCGUGUGUGAAGAAGGCCUUCGGGUUGUAAAGCACUUUCAGUCGUGAGGAAGGUAGUGUAGUUAAUAGCUGCAUUAUUUGACGUUAGCGACAGAAGAAGCACCGGCUAACUCCGUGCCAGCAGCCGCGGUAAUACAGAGGGUGCGAGCGUUAAUCAUUACUGGGCGUAAAGCGCAUGCAGGUGGUUUGUUAAGUCAGAUGUGAAAGCCCGGGGCUCAACCUCAGAAUUGCAUUUGAAACUGGCAGACUAGAGUAC
This 616-nucleotide ribosomal RNA is filed under the name uncultured Vibrio sp. Its description in RNAcentral is "bacterial SSU rRNA". It matches the Rfam family "Bacterial small subunit ribosomal RNA", at positions 46 to 649 of the family's 1533-position model. Lineage: Bacteria; Pseudomonadati; Pseudomonadota; Gammaproteobacteria; Vibrionales; Vibrionaceae. The record is from RNAcentral.